RNAcentral lists this ribosomal RNA (868 nucleotides) under Cryptosula pallasiana. RNAcentral's name for it is "partial 16S ribosomal RNA". The stretch from base 456 to 594 matches the Rfam family "Bacterial large subunit ribosomal RNA", at positions 1797 to 2007 of the family's 2925-position model. Lineage: Eukaryota; Metazoa; Bryozoa; Gymnolaemata; Cheilostomatida; Cryptosulidae. The record is from RNAcentral.
USKWCCYUGUGUAUSAUGGGUUAUUAAAUAUAAAUAUAAAUAUAUAAACCCGAAAGCAAAUGAGCUAAAAUUAUUCAAUAAAGAAUAGUAAUUUAAAAUGUUGCAAAAUUUUAAAAAGAAAUAAUUUUAGAGAUGAAAUGUCUACGCAUUUGCUGAUAUCUGGAUAAUAAACAAUGUAUAUAGUACAAUAUAAAAAAUAGUAAUAAUUUUGGGCUAAGCUAAAAUUAAAAAGAUUUAAAUUUAAAUAAUAUGACUUAUUUUUUGGGCUUAACACUAGUCUUAAAAAAUCACUGUAACAAGAAAAUAAAUAAAAAAUAAAUAAUUAUAUAGAAAAUAAUCUAAAUAAAAGAAAUAAACCCUUAUUUUUUAAUAAAAUGAUAACAUAAGUAUAGUAAUAAAAACAAACAUUUUUUUUUAAACGAAAAUAUAAGAAGGAACUCGGCAAAAAUAAGCAACGACUGUUUAACAAAAACAAAGCUUCUUGAAUUAAUAAGAAGUGACGCCUGCCCAGUGUGACUAUAAACGGCCGCGAAAGUGCUAAGGUAGCGAAAUAAUUUGUCUUUUCAUUGAAGACCAGUAUGAAUGGCAUAACGAAGCUUAACUGUCUCCUUAUAUAAAAUAAAAAUUGGUUUAAAAGUGAAAAAACUUUUAUUUCUAUGAUGGACGAGAAGACCCUAUAGAGUUUCAGUGCAAUACUAAUUAACCCAAAUUAAUAGUAUACACUUUUAUUGGGGCAAUAAAAGAACAAAAAAAAUCUUAAUAUUCAUAUAUACCCUCAAAGAGAACAAAUUUAACUACCUUAGGGAUAACAGCGUAAUUUUACCAAAGAGCUCUAAUCGACGGUAAAGAUUACGACCUCGAUGUUGGA